RNAcentral lists this ribosomal RNA (253 nucleotides) under uncultured bacterium. RNAcentral's name for it is "partial 16S ribosomal RNA". It matches the Rfam family "Bacterial small subunit ribosomal RNA", at positions 524 to 776 of the family's 1533-position model. The record is from RNAcentral.
UACGGGGGGAGCAAGCGUUGUUCGGAUUUACUGGGCGUAAAGGGCGCGUAGGCGGCGCGACAAGUCACUUGUGAAAUCUCCGGGCUUAACCCGGAGCGGCCAAGUGAUACUGUAGUGCUAGAGUGCAGAAGGGGCUACUGGAAUUCUCGGUGUAGCGGUGAAAUGCGUAGAUAUCGAGAGGAACACCUGCGGCGAAGGCGGGUAGCUGGGCCGACACUGACGCUGAGGCGCGAAAGCCAGGGGAGCGAACGGG